This is a long non-coding RNA of Etheostoma cragini (Arkansas darter), 108 nucleotides long. RefSeq lists it as uncharacterized. The record is from RefSeq and is a predicted model, not a curated record. NCBI's taxonomy places the organism in Eukaryota, Metazoa, Chordata, Actinopteri, Perciformes, Percidae. The transcript is spliced from 3 exons.
CACUGUAUCUUUCUGUUUGCUCACAAACACACUGAAUAAAACUUAUAGAAAUAAAACGGAGGUAAAGUUGCACAAAAGAUAAGGAAUCACGGUACACAUACAGUAUAU